GGUUAAGCGACUAAGCGUACACGGUGGAUGCCCUGGCAGUCAGAGGCGAUGAAGGACGUGCUAAUCUGCGAUAAGCGUCGGUAAGGUGAUAUGAACCGUUAUAACCGGCGAUUUCCGAAUGGGGAAACCCAGUGUGAUUCGACACACUAUCAUUAACUGAAUCCAUAGGUUAAUGAGGCGAACCGGGGGAACUGAAACAUCUAAGUACCCCGAGGAAAAGAAAUCAACCGAGAUUCCCCCAGUAGCGGCGAGCGAACGGGGAGGAGCCCAGAGCCUGAAUCAGUGUGUGUGUUAGUGGAAGCGUCUGGAAAGGCGCGCGAUACAGGGUGACAGCCCCGUACACAAAAAUGCACAUGCUGUGAGCUCGAUGAGUAGGGCGGGACACGUGGUAUCCUGUCUGAAUAUGGGGGGACCAUCCUCCAAGGCUAAAUACUCCUGACUGACCGAUAGUGAACCAGUACCGUGAGGGAAAGGCGAAAAGAACCCCGGCGAGGGGAGUGAAAAAGAACCUGAAACCGUGUACGUACAAGCAGUGGGAGCACGCUUAGGCGUGUGACUGCGUACCUUUUGUAUAAUGGGUCAGCGACUUAUAUUCUGUAGCAAGGUUAACCGAAUAGGGGAGCCGAAGGGAAACCGAGUCUUAACUGGGCGUUAAGUUGCAGGGUAUAGACCCGAAACCCGGUGAUCUAGCCAUGGGCAGGUUGAAGGUUGGGUAACACUAACUGGAGGACCGAACCGACUAAUGUUGAAAAAUUAGCGGAUGACUUGUGGCUGGGGGUGAAAGGCCAAUCAAACCGGGAGAUAGCUGGUUCUCCCCGAAAGCUAUUUAGGUAGCGCCUCGUGAAUUCAUCUCCGGGGGUAGAGCACUGUUUCGGCAAGGGGGUCAUCCCGACUUACCAACCCGAUGCAAACUGCGAAUACCGGAGAAUGUUAUCACGGGAGACACACGGCGGGUGCUAACGUCCGUCGUGAAGAGGGAAACAACCCAGACCGCCAGCUAAGGUCCCAAAGUCAUGGUUAAGUGGGAAACGAUGUGGGAAGGCCCAGACAGCCAGGAUGUUGGCUUAGAAGCAGCCAUCAUUUAAAGAAAGCGUAAUAGCUCACUGGUCGAGUCGGCCUGCGCGGAAGAUGUAACGGGGCUAAACCAUGCACCGAAGCUGCGGCAGCGACGCUGAUGCGUUGUUGGGUAGGGGAGCGUUCUGUAAGCCUGUGAAGGUGUGCUGUGAGGCAUGCUGGAGGUAUCAGAAGUGCGAAUGCUGACAUAAGUAACGAUAAAGCGGGUGAAAAGCCCGCUCGCCGGAAGACCAAGGGUUCCUGUCCAACGUUAAUCGGGGCAGGGUGAGUCGACCCCUAAGGCGAGGCCGAAAGGCGUAGUCGAUGGGAAACAGGUUAAUAUUCCUGUACUUGGUGUUACUGCGAAGGGGGGGACGGAGAAGGCUAUGUUGGCCGGGCGACGGUUGUCCCGGUUUAAGCGUGUAGGCUGGUUUUCCAGGCAAAUCCGGAAAAUCAAGGCUGAGGCGUGAUGACGAGGCACUACGGUGCUGAAGCAACAAAUGCCCUGCUUCCAGGAAAAGCCUCUAAGCAUCAGGUAACAUCAAAUCGUACCCCAAACCGACACAGGUGGUCAGGUAGAGAAUACCAAGGCGCUUGAGAGAACUCGGGUGAAGGAACUAGGCAAAAUGGUGCCGUAACUUCGGGAGAAGGCACGCUGAUAUGUAGGUGAAGUCCCUCGCGGAUGGAGCUGAAAUCAGUCGAAGAUACCAGCUGGCUGCAACUGUUUAUUAAAAACACAGCACUGUGCAAACACGAAAGUGGACGUAUACGGUGUGACGCCUGCCCGGUGCCGGAAGGUUAAUUGAUGGGGUCAGCGCAAGCGAAGCUCUUGAUCGAAGCCCCGGUAAACGGCGGCCGUAACUAUAACGGUCCUAAGGUAGCGAAAUUCCUUGUCGGGUAAGUUCCGACCUGCACGAAUGGCGUAAUGAUGGCCAGGCUGUCUCCACCCGAGACUCAGUGAAAUUGAACUCGCUGUGAAGAUGCAGUGUACCCGCGGCAAGACGGAAAGACCCCGUGAACCUUUACUAUAGCUUGACACUGAACAUUGAGCCUUGAUGUGUAGGAUAGGUGGGAGGCUUUGAAGUGUGGACGCCAGUCUGCAUGGAGCCGACCUUGAAAUACCACCCUUUAAUGUUUGAUGUUCUAACGUUGACCCGUAAUCCGGGUUGCGGACAGUGUCUGGUGGGUAGUUUGACUGGGGCGGUCUCCUCCUAAAGAGUAACGGAGGAGCACGAAGGUUGGCUAAUCCUGGUCGGACAUCAGGAGGUUAGUGCAAUGGCAUAAGCCAGCUUGACUGCGAGCGUGACGGCGCGAGCAGGUGCGAAAGCAGGUCAUAGUGAUCCGGUGGUUCUGAAUGGAAGGGCCAUCGCUCAACGGAUAAAAGGUACUCCGGGGAUAACAGGCUGAUACCGCCCAAGAGUUCAUAUCGACGGCGGUGUUUGGCACCUCGAUGUCGGCUCAUCACAUCCUGGGGCUGAAGUAGGUCCCAAGGGUAUGGCUGUUCGCCAUUUAAAGUGGUACGCGAGCUGGGUUUAGAACGUCGUGAGACAGUUCGGUCCCUAUCUGCCGUGGGCGCUGGAGAACUGAGGGGGGCUGCUCCUAGUACGAGAGGACCGGAGUGGACGCAUCACUGGUGUUCGGGUUGUCAUGCCAAUGGCACUGCCCGGUAGCUAAAUGCGGAAGAGAUAAGUGCUGAAAGCAUCUAAGCACGAAACUUGCCCCGAGAUGAGUUCUCCCUGACUCCUUGAGAGUCCUGAAGGAACGUUGAAGACGACGACGUUGAUAGGCCGGGUGUGUAAGCGCAGCGAUGCGUUGAGCUAACCGGUACUAAUGAACCGUGAGGCUUAACCUU
This 2905-nucleotide ribosomal RNA is filed under the name Escherichia coli. RNAcentral's name for it is "23S ribosomal RNA". It matches the Rfam family "Bacterial large subunit ribosomal RNA". The record is from RNAcentral. Lineage: Bacteria; Pseudomonadati; Pseudomonadota; Gammaproteobacteria; Enterobacterales; Enterobacteriaceae.